Molecule: long non-coding RNA, 108 nt
Organism: Pipistrellus kuhlii (Kuhl's pipistrelle)
Lineage: Eukaryota; Metazoa; Chordata; Mammalia; Chiroptera; Vespertilionidae
Exons: 4
Source: RefSeq, a predicted model, not a curated record
CACUUUAAAAAUCCAAGAGUAUUAAAAAACAUUUAUCAAAAGGGGAUCUAUGCCACAGAUGUUGCUUAAAAGACCAAUACUGCUACAGAAACAGGUGGGAGGUGAAAA